CACAAGCAGCGGAGCGUGUGGUUUAAUUCGAUGCUACACGAAGAACCUUACCAGGGUUUGACAUGCAAGUGGUAGGAAACUGAAAAGGGACCGACCCUUCGGGAGCUUGCACAGGUGCUGCAUGGCUGUCGUCAGCUCGUGUCGUGAGAUGUUCGGUUAAGUCCGCUAACGAGCGCAACCCUCACUGUGUGUUAUAUGUGUCACACGGGACUGCCGGUUUUAAGCCGGAGGAAGGUGGGAUGACGUCAAGUCAGCAUGGCCUUUAUAUCCUGGGCUACACACACGCUACAAUGGUCGGUACAAUAGGUUGCCAAGCCGCGAGGCGGAGCCAAUCCAAAAAAGCCGGCCUCAGUUCAGAUUGUAGGCUGCAACUCGCCUGCAUGAAGCCGGAGUUGCUAGUAACCGCAGGUCAGCAAUACUGCGGUGAAUACGUUCCCGGGUCUU
This 444-nucleotide ribosomal RNA is filed under the name uncultured Anaerolineaceae bacterium. RNAcentral's name for it is "bacterial SSU rRNA". It matches the Rfam family "Bacterial small subunit ribosomal RNA", at positions 924 to 1382 of the family's 1533-position model. Lineage: Bacteria; Bacillati; Chloroflexota; Anaerolineae; Anaerolineales; Anaerolineaceae. The record is from RNAcentral.